RNAcentral lists this ribosomal RNA (440 nucleotides) under uncultured bacterium. Its description in RNAcentral is "partial 16S ribosomal RNA". It matches the Rfam family "Bacterial small subunit ribosomal RNA", at positions 338 to 795 of the family's 1533-position model. The record is from RNAcentral.
CCUACGUGAGGCAGCAGUGGGGAAUAUUGCACAAUGGGCGAAACCCUGAUGCAGCGACGCCGCGUGAGUGAAGAAGUAUCUCGGUACGUAACGCUCUAUCAGCAGGGAAGAAAAUGACGGUACCUGACCACGAAGCCACGGCUACCUACGUGCCAGCAUCCGCUGUAAUACGGCGGGCGCAGGCGUUCACCGGAUUUCCUGGGGGUAAAGGGAGCGUAGACGGGAUCACAAGUCUGGAGUGAAAUCCCUGGGGUUAACCCCGGAAGUGCUUUGGAAACUGUGCGGCUGGAGUGUAGGAGAGGUAAGCGGAAUUCCGAGUGUAGCGGUGAAAUGCGUAGAUAUUAGGAGGAACACCGGUGGCGAAGGCGGCUUACUGGACUGUAACUGACGUUGAUGCUCGAAAGUGUGGGUAUCAAACAGGAUUAGAUACCCGAGUAGUC